AACGAACGCUGGCGGCAUGCCUAACACAUGCAAGUCGAACGAGACCUUCGGGUCUAGUGGCGCACGGGUGCGUAACGCGUGGGAACCUGCCCUUAGGUUCGGAAUAACUCCCCGAAAGGGGUGCUAAUACCGGAUAAUGUCUUCGGACCAAAGAUUUAUCGCCUUUGGAUGGGCCCGCGUUGGAUUAGCUAGUUGGUAGGGUAAAAGCCUACCAAGGCGACGAUCCAUAGCUGGUCUGAGAGGAUGAUCAGCCACACUGGGACUGAGACACGGCCCAGACACACAGGGGACGCAGCGGGGGAAAAGAGGGGACAGGGGGCGAGAGCCUGGUGCAGCAGUGCCGCGUGGGUAGUGAGGGCCUGAUGUGUGAUAAGCUUUGUUACCCGGGAUGAUAAUGACGGACGCGGGACAAUAGGCUCCGGCUAACCCCGCGCCAGCGGCAGCGGUAAUCAGAGGAAGAGCAGACGUCGGAAC
RNAcentral lists this ribosomal RNA (474 nucleotides) under uncultured bacterium. RNAcentral describes it as "partial 16S ribosomal RNA". It matches the Rfam family "Bacterial small subunit ribosomal RNA", at positions 30 to 543 of the family's 1533-position model. The record is from RNAcentral.